AGGCUUAACACAUGCAAGUCGAGGGGCAGCACAGGUAGCAAUACCGGGUGGCGACCGGCGCACGGGUGAGUAACGCGUAUGCAACUUACCUAUCAGAGGGGGAUAACCCGGCGAAAGUCGGACUAAUACCGCAUGAAGCAGGGGCCCCGCAUGGGGAUAUUUGCUAAAGAUUCAUCGCUGAUAGAUAGGCAUGCGUUCCAUUAGGCAGUUGGCGGGGUAACGGCCCACCAAACCGACGAUGGAUAGGGGUUCUGAGAGGAAGGUCCCCCACAUUGGUACUGAGACACGGACCAAACUCCUACGGGAGGCAGCAGUGAGGAACAUUGGUCAAUGGCCGAGAGGCUGAACCAGCCAAGUCGCGUGAGGGAUGAAGGUUCUAUGGAUCGUAAACCUCUUUUAUAAGGGAAUAAAGUGCGGGACGUGUCCCGUUUUGUAUGUACCUUAUGAAUAAGGAUCGGCUAACUCCGUGCCAGCAGCCGCGGUAAUACGGAGGAUCCGAGCGUUAUCCGGAUUUAUUGGGUUUAAAGGGUGCGUAGGCGGCCUUUUAAGUCAGCGGUGAAAGUCUGUGGCUCAACCAUAGAAUUGCCGUUGAAACUGGGGGGCUUGAGUAUGUUUGAGGCAGGCGGAAUGCGUGGUGUAGCGGUGAAAUGCAUAGAUAUCACGCAGAACCCCGAUUGCGAAGGCAGCCUGCCAAGCCAUGACUGACGCUGAUGCACGAAAGCGUGGGGAUCAAACAGGAUUAGAUACCCUGGUAGUCCACGCAGUAAACGAUGAUCACUAGCUGUUUGCGAUACACAGUAAGCGGCACAGCGAAAGCGUUAAGUGAUCCACCUGGGGAGUACGCCGGCAACGGUGAAACUCAAAGGAAUUGACGGGGGCCCGCACAAGCGGAGGAACAUGUGGUUUAAUUCGAUGAUACGCGAGGAACCUUACCCGGGUUUGAACGCAUUCGGACCGAGGUGGAAACACCUUUUCUAGCAAUAGCCGUUUGCGAGGUGCUGCAUGGUUGUCGUCAGCUCGUGCCGUGAGGUGUCGGCUUAAGUGCCAUAACGAGCGCAACCCUUGCCACUAGUUACUAACAGGUGAUGCUGAGGACUCUGGUGGGACUGCCAGCGUAAGCUGCGAGGAAGGCGGGGAUGACGUCAAAUCAGCACGGCCCUUACAUCCGGGGCGACACACGUGUUACAAUGGCGUGGACAAAGGGAGGCCACCUGGCGACAGGGAGCGAAUCCCCAAACCACGUCUCAGUUCGGAUCGGAGUCUGCAACCCGACUCCGUGAAGCUGGAUUCGCUAGUAAUCGCGCAUCAGCCAUGGCGCGGUGAAUACGUUCCCGGGCCUUGUACACACCGCCCGUCAAGCCAUGGGAGCCGGGGGUACCUGAAGUCCGUAACCGCGAGGAUCGGCCUAGGGUAAAACUGGUGACUGGGGCUAAGA
This 1435-nucleotide ribosomal RNA is filed under the name uncultured organism. RNAcentral's name for it is "SSU rRNA". It matches the Rfam family "Bacterial small subunit ribosomal RNA". The record is from RNAcentral.